GUGGGGAAUAUUCCGCAAUGGACGAAAGUCUGACGGAGCAACGCCGCGUGAGUGAUGAAGGUUUUCGGACUGUAAAGCUCUGUUGUUUAGGACGAAAGUGCCUGUUGCAAACAGUUACAGGUAUUGACGGUACUAAACGAGGAAGCCACGGCUAACUACGUGCCAGCAGCCGCGGUAAUACGUAGGUGGCAAGCGUUGUCCGGAAUUAUUGGGCGUAAAGAGCAUGUAGGCGGGAAUCUAAGUCUGUUGUGAAAAUGCGGGGCUCAACCCCGUAUUGCGAUGGAAACUGGGUUUCUUGAGUGCAGGAGAGGAAAGGGGAAUUCCCAGUGUAGCGGUGAAAUGCGUAGAUAUUGGGAGGAACACCAGUGGCGAAGGCGCCUUUCUGGACUGUGUCUGACGCUGAGAUGCGAAAGCCAGGGUAGCGAACGGGAUUAGAUACCCGUGUAGUCC
Molecule: ribosomal RNA, 450 nt
Filed under: uncultured bacterium
Lineage: Bacteria
Description: partial 16S ribosomal RNA
Rfam family: Bacterial small subunit ribosomal RNA
Source: RNAcentral